RNAcentral lists this unclassified non-coding RNA (376 nucleotides) under soil metagenome. Its description in RNAcentral is "partial contains 5.8S ribosomal RNA, internal transcribed spacer 2, and large subunit ribosomal RNA". The stretch from base 1 to 120 matches the Rfam family "5.8S ribosomal RNA", at positions 35 to 154 of the family's 154-position model. The record is from RNAcentral.
GAUGAAGAACGCAGCGAAAUGCGAUACGUAAUGUGAAUUGCAGAAUUCAGUGAAUCAUCGAAUCUUUGAACGCAUCUUGCGCUCCUUGGUAUUCUGAGGAGCAUGCCUGUUUGAGUGUCAUUAAAUUCUCAACUACACUGACUUUGAAUUGGUGUGGCUUGGAUUUGGGGGGAAAAUUGUUGUGGGCUUUUUGUAUAGUCUGCUCCCCUGAAAUUGAUUAGCGGUACCUUUGUGGAACUGUCUGCAGGUGUGAUAAUUAUCUACAUCUUAGACAUCUGCUGGAAUGCUGCUCUCUAAACCUUACUUGUAUUGACAAUCUUGACCUCAAAUCAGGUAGGACUACCCGCUGAACUUAAGCAUAUCAAUAAGCGGAGGA